Long non-coding RNA from Rosa chinensis, 718 nucleotides. RefSeq lists it as uncharacterized. The record is from RefSeq and is a predicted model, not a curated record. Lineage: Eukaryota; Viridiplantae; Streptophyta; Magnoliopsida; Rosales; Rosaceae. The transcript has 5 exons.
UAACGCUCUCAAUAUUGAUUUGUUUAGGGUAUAUACUUUCUUUUCCACCGCCACAACCCAAGGUGAGAGCAAACGUGGAGUUCAUCCCCAAAGCUGAAAGGGAACCGGUUUCAAGACUCAAUCUACUGCAAUCGGGAAACCCCCAAAUCUCUUCCUUCUCCGUCUCCAUUUCAAUGUAGAGUUCAUGCCACAGUGUCAAAUACCCAAGUUGGUUCCGGGUAGUGAAUAAUGUGAUUGUCUUCAUAAGAAAGAGUCCUUGCUCCUGCAGCUGACUCCUCUCCUACAACAAAUUUUCCCGGGGACCAAAAAGAAAAGACAUUGACAUCAUUUCCGACUUACAAACUCCAUGCAAUGCAGCGGAGUUAAGAUACGAUAUGUCCAAUUACAACAUGGAUUUCCAGUUGGAUGAUGAUGCCCUACCAUCGAUGCAUGAAAGUGUCCAAUUUGAUGAUAGUGAAACCCAAGAUGUUGGCCGUCUUUUUGUGAAUGAGCAAACAAUUCCUACAGAAAACAGAAAUAAUGCAGCCAAUGAGGGUAACAAAAAAAAAGGGAGAGGGAAAACUGUAAUUAAAUGGGGUCAGCGUGGAGUGCGAGAAAGAGUUAAGUGGGGAAAACAAGGAGUACCGGUGUCUCCAAGGGAAAAAUGUGCACAGUAUUCCCUUUUCAUUGGUAGUUUGGCGGCUGACCCUGGAUUGUAUCCUAUUGAUGUCAAGGAUUG